RNAcentral lists this ribosomal RNA (422 nucleotides) under uncultured bacterium. RNAcentral's name for it is "bacterial SSU rRNA". It matches the Rfam family "Bacterial small subunit ribosomal RNA", at positions 355 to 774 of the family's 1533-position model. The record is from RNAcentral.
CGAGGAAUAUUGGUCAAUGGGCGCAAGCCUGAACCGGCCAUGCCGCGUGCAGGAUGAAGCAUCUAUGGUGUGUAAACUGCUUUUGUACGGGAAGAAACCACCCCUCGUGAGGGGUAUUGACGGUACCGUAAGAAUAAGGAUCGGCUAACUCCGUGCCAGCAGCCGCGGUAAUACGGAGGAUCCAAGCGUUAUCCGGAAUCAUUGGGUUUAAAGGGUCCGUAGGCGGUUUAAUAAGUCAGUGGUGAAAGCCCAUCGCUCAACGAUGGAACGGCCAUUGAUACUGUUAGACUUGAAUUACAAGGAAGUAACUAGAAUAUGUAGUGUAGCGGUGAAAUGCUUAGAUAUUACAUGGAAUACCAAUUGCGAAGGCAGGUUACUACUAAUGGAUUGACGCUGAAGGACGAAAGCGUGGGGAGCGAACA